RNAcentral lists this ribosomal RNA (253 nucleotides) under uncultured bacterium. RNAcentral describes it as "partial 16S ribosomal RNA". It matches the Rfam family "Bacterial small subunit ribosomal RNA", at positions 524 to 776 of the family's 1533-position model. The record is from RNAcentral.
UACGUAGGGUGCGAGCGUUGUCCGGAAUUAUUGGGCGUAAAGAGCUCGUAGGCGGUUUGUCGCGUCGGCCGUGAAAACUUGGGGCUUAACCCCAAGCCUGCGGUCGAUACGGGCAGACUUGAGUUCGGCAGGGGAGACUGGAAUUCCUGGUGUAGCGGUGAAAUGCGCAGAUAUCAGGAGGAACACCGAUAGCGAAGGCAGCUCGCUGGGACGGUACUGACGCUGAGGCGCGAAAGCGUGGGGAGCGAACAGG